RNAcentral lists this ribosomal RNA (268 nucleotides) under uncultured bacterium. RNAcentral's name for it is "partial 16S ribosomal RNA". It matches the Rfam family "Bacterial small subunit ribosomal RNA", at positions 87 to 354 of the family's 1533-position model. The record is from RNAcentral.
CCCGGCGACCGGCGCACGGGUGAGUAACACGUAUGCAACCUGGCCGCCACAGGGGAUAACCCGCGGAAACGCGGCCUAAUAUCCCGUGACGCCACCGGAGGGCAUCCUCCGGUGGCCAAAGGAGCGAUCCGGUGGCGGAUGGGCAUGCGGCGCAUUAGCUAGACGGCGGGGUGACGGCCCACCGUGGCGACGAUGCGUAGGGGUUCUGAGAGGAAGGCCCCCCACACUGGGACUGAGACACGGCCCAGACUCCUACGGGAGGCAGCAG